ACAUAGUUGGCUUCCUGAGGGGAGACUCUGAAGGUCAAUCUUCCUGGAGACAGGAUAGGCCCAGCCAGGUCUAAUCUGCCGAAGGAUAGGGAAAGGUUUUCUGGUGAUUCAGUUGUUACAUCUCAGGAAUCCAGUAUGAAUUCUGGUCUGGUUUCCAGAAGCCUAGCACAUAAGGCUUCUGGAAUGUCCAGAAUGUCCAGUCUCACCAUGAAGAAUGUCCAGUCCCAUCAUAAAGAACACAAGAACCAUGAUCCACCUGAGCCAGCUGGGAUGAAGUAAAAGGUAGGGAGGUGGGCAAGAAGCAGAGGAGAGCAACCAUGAGAACAGAGAGACCAGCAAAGAACCUGCAGAGACCUUGGCCCUGGCCAGGCUGCAGUCCCUCUGGAGUUCCAUUCUCAGAAGGUCCUGGGUACAUUUGGUGCCAGCAGAGGGCAGGUUGUGGACACUCAGCCACAUGGCUCCCUCAGAGCACUGCUAUUCAGCAAGAUGGGACACCCAUUCCUGGUGAGAUUUGUGGAAACCAGAACAAUGUCACUUACAUCAUUUUGGUAUUUUCCAUUUCAUAAUAAAAACAUGUAUUUAACUGCCUAGUAUACCCCAUCUAAUUUGUAAUUUAUUAAACUUC
This 625-nucleotide long non-coding RNA is filed under the name Chinchilla lanigera (long-tailed chinchilla). RNAcentral describes it as "lncRNA (ENSCLAG00000028487.1)". Lineage: Eukaryota; Metazoa; Chordata; Mammalia; Rodentia; Chinchillidae. The record is from RNAcentral.